Molecule: non-coding RNA, 384 nt
Organism: Paramuricea clavata
Lineage: Eukaryota; Metazoa; Cnidaria; Anthozoa; Malacalcyonacea; Plexauridae
Source: the annotation of a GenBank genome assembly
AUUAAUAUUGAAGGUUGUCAAAUAUCAUAAAAUCAACACACAAAAUUCACACACAAAGGUUUAAAAUAAUGUAUAUUGGUAUAAACGUUUAAUAAAAAUGCAUACAUACGUAACCCAUGGUCGGCAUGGAAUUUUGUCACUUGGCACAGUACUUUAAUGUCCCACAUUAAAAUAUAUUGAGUCAAUGACAGUGCAACUGUUCAUAUUAAAACGUUCUAAUCACAUUUUACAUGCACAUUUGUAUUCAGUAGUAAAUCUUUUCAUAAAGGUACAUCAAAGUCCCAAAUCAAAUUCUUCACUGACAGUAUGUUAUUGACUCCCAAACGACAAAUAUGAUAAAACACGCUUCCAAGCUGAAAACUUAGAAAUAUUUACUGUUGUCAG